RNAcentral lists this unclassified non-coding RNA (287 nucleotides) under rhizosphere metagenome. Its description in RNAcentral is "partial ribosomal RNA internal transcribed spacer region". The record is from RNAcentral.
GUAGGUGAACCUGCGGAAGGAUCAUUAACUAUUAAGUGGUAGAACUAUUCUACCUAUAACCUUUGUGCAAUGAUUAAAGUGAAAUAGAUCUAGAAUGUAGGUAUUUAACGAUACCGACAGCCUAGAGAUAAAUCACGGAAAUCUUGGCCGAACAUAUGUAUACAGCAGUAAUGAUGUAUACAAGUGGACGGUCACACGCAGUAUGCGUGAAUAUAAACGUUAAAUAUAGAGUCUUAUUUAAAUAUAUAAUUUAAAAACAACUUUUAACAAUGGAUCUCUAGGCUCUU